Molecule: long non-coding RNA, 1836 nt
Organism: Gouania willdenowi (blunt-snouted clingfish)
Lineage: Eukaryota; Metazoa; Chordata; Actinopteri; Blenniiformes; Gobiesocidae
Product: fibroin heavy chain-like
Source: Ensembl
GUUGCAGAAAAAUGGUUAAAAUAAGCAAAAAUUGGUUCAAAUUAUUAAAAAAAAAGAAAAUCAGUCAAAAUGUUUCAAAAAUAUUGGCAAUUAAAAAUGAAAAUAGGGAAAAUAUCCAACAUUUAUUUAACAUAGUUGGGAAUGAGAAACAAAAACACUAUUUCACAAUAAGACGUCAUCAAGAAUCAUGUUUUCAAGCAAUUGUUUGAUCAUUGCCUUGAAAAUUAAAUAAAUAAAUGUAUUUUGUGGGAAAAAGACAUAUUUUCAACCAAGCUGACGAUCGUCGUGGAAACUGUAACCUGUGUGUGUGUGUGUGUGUGUCCUCAGGUGAUGGAGAUAGACUUCAGUGGUUCUUUGUCCUCAGAGGGCAGGACUGGUUAGUGGGAGUGUAUAAAAAAUAAAAAGCCCUAUAAAAGCCAUGCAGGGCUUUAAUCUCCCAGUCCUCCCAGUGCAGCUGUUUAUCCACUCCAUCAUCAUGCUUGUUCGAGCUGUGCUGCAGACGUCCCUCCUCCUCUGGUUGGCUCAGCAGACUCUGCAAGGCGCUGUUGCAGGAGUCCAACCUCAGAGUGUGUCAUGGGGACAAGGACUGCCAGCUAGAGGUCUGGGUGUUGGAGUGAAACCUGGAGACGUCAGCGCUCUCGGAGCCGUGGCAAAUCGAUUUGAAAGCAAAGCAAUGAAAGCUGGACUGGGACGUUACGGCGGCGCUCAGCUUGGACUUGGAGGAUACAGGACUCUUGGAUUAGGAGGGAGAGCUGGUAUGAGACAUGGCGGCUACGGGGUUCAAGGAGUCUACGGUGCUGGUCUUGGUACAGGAAUGGGUCUAGGGACUGGACUCACGAACGGGCUUGGUUUGGGUUUGGGUCAGGGUGGAAAACGAGUCUAUGGGACUGGCCUGGGAACUGUACCUGGAUAUGGAGCUUUGGGAGCGAUUGGCUAUCCCGGGCUUCGUCCUGGUUAUGGUGGCGGAGUAGGAAACUACCUGGGAACUGGCCUGGGUGCUGGAGGCUAUGGAGCAGCUUUGGGACAAGGCGGCUAUCUGGGAGGAGCUGCUGGAAAACUGGCAGCAGGAUACGGAGAUGGAAUGACUGGAUAUCUCGGACCCAUGGCAGGUUACGGGAAUGGUUACGGGGAUGCUUAUGGAGCUGGGCUCGGUUACCCUGCAGAUUUAGCCGUUGGUCUGGAGAACAAAGCAGGGAAAAGUGAAGGCCUCGGUACAGGAGGAUUAGUUGGUCCCCUGCAGGGAGCGUAUGGAGGAGCUGCUCAGGUGCCUUUUGCCAACACUCCAGUCCUUCCUGUGGGACUAGAAGGUGAUGGUGGUUAUCCGUACAACACUCAGCAGCUCAGUUUGACCGCUGAAGCUGCCAAAUCUGCCAGUAAAUAUGAAGCUGGUCCAGGAUUCAGAGCUCAACAAGCUGCAGGUUUGUUGGGACCGAAUCAAGACGUCUUGGGGGAGCAGACCGGAAAAUAUGGCGGUGUGAACGCAGCCCUUGGUAACGGUUACAAAGCCUAAUACAAACAACCUGGAGGUCCUCAGCUGGAUGGUCGAGCUCUGUACUACGUUGAGUGUAAUUCGUUUGUAAGGCUUUCCCUCUGUAUGUUUUUUUUUCUAUUUUGUUUUACAGUAUUGUUUGUUCCUCACUUUGUUUACUUCUGUCUCGUUUGUCUGAAACCUCGUGUAACCUCCUCCCAUAUCAUUUCUACAUGUCUUGUCGAGUUAUAAACACAUGUUACAUGCAGAAGUAGACAGAUUUUGUGUCAAUAUUCAAAAAAUUGGUUGUACUGUUGUGAUGACUCAGCAGUUUUAAAGACAAUAAAUGUCAUUGCCAAAUGUUGUAC